RNAcentral lists this ribosomal RNA (255 nucleotides) under uncultured bacterium. RNAcentral describes it as "partial 16S ribosomal RNA". It matches the Rfam family "Bacterial small subunit ribosomal RNA", at positions 524 to 776 of the family's 1533-position model. The record is from RNAcentral.
UACGUAGGGUGCAAGCGUUGUCCGGAAUUAUUGGGCGUAAAGAGCUCGUAGGCGGUGUGUCGCGUCGGCCGUGAAAACCUGCAGCUUAACUGUGGGCUUGCGGUCGAUACGGGCAUCACUGGAGUUCGGCAGGGGAGACUGGAAUUCCUGGUGUAGCGGUGAAAUGCGCAGAUAUCAGGAGGAACACCGGUGGCGAAGGCGGGGUCUCUGGGCCGAUACUGACGCUGAGGAGCGAAAGCGUGGGGAGCGAACAGG